RNAcentral lists this ribosomal RNA (758 nucleotides) under uncultured bacterium. RNAcentral's name for it is "bacterial SSU rRNA". It matches the Rfam family "Bacterial small subunit ribosomal RNA", at positions 28 to 776 of the family's 1533-position model. The record is from RNAcentral.
GAUGAACGCUAGCUACAGUCUUAACACAUGCAAGUCGAGGGGCAUCAGGAAGAAAGCUUGCUUUCUUUGCUGGCGACCGGCGCACGGGUGAGUAACACGUAUCCAACCUGCCCUUUACUCGGGGAUAGCCUUUCGAAAGAAAGAUUAAUACCCGAUGGCAUAAUGAUUCCGCAUGGUUUCAUUAUUAAAGGAUUCCGGUAAAGGAUGGGGAUGCGUUCCAUUAGGUUGUUGGUGAGGUAACGGCUCACCAAGCCUUCGAUGGAUAGGGGUUCUGAGAGGAAGGUCCCCCACAUUGGAACUGAGACACGGUCCAAACUCCUACGGGAGGCAGCAGUGAGGAAUAUUGGUCAAUGGGCGUUAGCCUGAACCAGCCAGGUAGCGUGAAGGAUGAAGGCUCUAUGGGUCGUAAACUUCUUUUAUAUAAGAAUAAAGUGCAGUAUGUAUACUGUUUUGUAUGUAUUAUAUGAAUAAGGAUCGGCUAACUCCGUGCCAGCAGCCGCGGUAAUACGGAGGAUCCGAGCGUUAUCCGGAUUUAUUGGGUUUAAAGGGAGCGUAGGUGGACUGGUAAGUCAGUUGUGAAAGUUUGCGGCUCAACCGUAAAAUUGCAGUUGAUACUGUCAGUCUUGAGUACAGUAGAGGUGGGCGGAAUUCGUGGUGUAGCGGUGAAAUGCUUAGAUAUCACGAGGAACUCCGAUUGCGAAGGCAGCUCACUGGACUGCAACUGACACUGAUGCUCGAAAGUGUGGGUAUCANACAGG